Gallus gallus (chicken) is the source of this 2214-nucleotide long non-coding RNA. The record is from Ensembl. NCBI's taxonomy places the organism in Eukaryota, Metazoa, Chordata, Aves, Galliformes, Phasianidae.
ACUUGGAAAGGGCUUAAGCACUGCUUGUGUGCUCUGUUAAGGGCACUGAGAUAAAAGGAGGAGUUUAAAAUGAACUAGGGGACACUGGGGAGCUGCCGGGAUUUAGAAAAGGCUUACAGUGACAUACAGUAAUAGUGCAGUGAUCUUUGACACACAAGAGUCGUCCUUGGUUCAUAAAUUGCAUAGUUUGUGAUACUAAAAAUCAGGGUUUGUUUUCAAGAUGAGAAGCAAUAAGACUGCCAAUAUUCAGGAAAUGGUUCCAAGAGCAAUUUGCUCCAUUAGCCACAGACCUGAGGCUCCCUGUGAGAACAUGUCAUCACCUCAGGGAUGAGGAAAACUGGGUGGAAAGUAGAAGAAUGUGCACCAGCUGGACCACCAGAAACUACAGCAGGUGGUCAAAAAGCAGUGGGCUGAAGGUGCAUCUGCUUAGCUCCACCAAAUGUGAAGAGCCGGUCCCAGAAAGGCAGGCUAGAAAAGCCUCCCUGUAGGAGGGCAACCCUGUGUGAGGAGGAAUUCUGUGACAUCCCUUUGCUGCAUACACACUUCCAUGUCAGAAGCCAUUUGUCAGAAUGCCCCUCUGCUGCCUGGAGCUGUUCAGCCUGGAGGAGAGAAGACUAAGAGAUUGCCUUGUGCAGCUAGGGUGGUUCCCGACUUCACUCCGUAUUUGGAUGAGAGCACAAGGAAGAAGAUAGGGGAAUUGAAGAAGAUAUUCCAAGUUGAAACUAUCUGGAAAGCUCAUCCAGACCUAUCUGCAAUCCAAGACAUAUACUGCUUUGUGAGCAAUGUACAAGGAUUCCCUGUACCCAUAGCCUUCUCAGCAUGUAUGCAGAACACCCACGAAAAACCCAUGCAAAAUCCCCAGAUUUGGGUCUAGCUGCAGGGGAGGAAGAAAUUAACACCAGAAGGCUAAAGGAAGAAGCAAAGCAACAGAGGCAAAAAAUGAAGCAUACAGAUCAUGAGAAAGGAAGCAAGAAGAUGUUUAGAAGCAUCUUUGGUUGGGAAAGUGGGAAUUCAACACAACUAGAACAGGAGAUGCCUCACAGCUACUUAGGAAUCACUGUGAGCCAGCUGGGCUCAGAGGCAUUGUGUAACAUCCGUCUCCACCUUAGCUAUUCCAGUUUUCAGGACAACAUUUGCCAUAUUCUAAGAGAUGAACUGCAUUCAGGAUGCAAACUUGAUUGUUGCGAGUACAGGGGAAAACAAAGAUGGAAUAAGUAAGGGUAAAACAGUACCUGGUGAUGUCUCCGUAUUGUACUAGUGUGAUACAGGCUACUCAGGGUUAAAAUGAUCAGUGUUAUCAUAGAAUCCUGAAGAUUGGAAAACACCACUAAGGUCAUCAAAUCCAACCACCAACUGAAUGCAAACAUACAGCUUUCUACUUUUGUACACAGAAAAACAAGUCCAUUCUUAGCACCCAAACUCUUCUCCCAAGCAGCCUUAGAGCAGAAAAUUGAAGCACCAUCCUCAAUGUGAUAAGACAAAACAUGAAAAAGGUUAUUUACCCCUGCCACCCCUGCAGAGCACCAGCAACUUGGGCUGGGCUUGCCAGAGGGAUGCAGCCAUGUUGUGCCAUCCCUCCAGGGACACCGUGAUAACGCAGCCAAAAGGCAUCUCCAGUACUGUAGAGUGAUGAGAGAUGAGAGUGGUUUCCAAAGACACGGGCCUCUCGUUUUUGCCGAGCAGAUUGAGUCUCCCUGCCUGGCUGCUGAGCAAAGGGUAUGAUUAAUGGAAAGAUGUCAGGAUGAUAAUCCUUACUAUCACAAAACACUGGACAGGGUGUUUUUCUUGGCAAAUUGAGGGGUAGCGGAAAGAGAAUAAGAAAGCAAAAAGGAAGCAAGAGAAAGGGAGAGGUUUUGAAGAGAGAAAGUAGAAACGUUAUAUGCAUAUAUAUACACACAUACAUACACAUAUAUAUUUAAAAAAAAUACAACCGUCCCUCUGCCCAUCCUCUUUAAUGUUUCUCUGGUGGAGUAAUAAGAUACCUUCAGCGUUAUAAAUAGCGGCACAGAUGUUGACAGAAAAAUGCUCCCUUAAUUACCAUACAAACUGCUUUACUUGAGUGAACCGUUUAAAGCGGCCUCCAAAGGAAGUUCACUCAAGCAAUUCCACAGAUUACAGCUAAUGAACAAUAUUUCCUCGCUCCUAUUUAGUGCUCAUUAAAAUGUAAAAGCCUUUCAUUUUCAACAGGCAUACAAUAAAUAAUUCCUCUCUCCC